Long non-coding RNA from Priapulus caudatus, 265 nucleotides. RefSeq lists it as uncharacterized. The record is from RefSeq and is a predicted model, not a curated record. The transcript has 3 exons. NCBI's taxonomy places the organism in Eukaryota, Metazoa, Priapulida, Priapulimorpha, Priapulimorphida, Priapulidae.
UUGAUUCGGUGUUAUAUUAUCACGACGCAUUGGAAAAUCGAAACGCCAACGCAAUGGAGACACACGAAGGCCGUAUAUUAGAGAGUCCAUUCCCCGAUGUUGAUGUACCAGAUAUGUCGGUCACUGAUUUCCUUGAUAAACACUCUUGGUUUACCCAGGCACAGGACGCAAUAGCGCUGAUCGGGCGCAGUGUUGGACCACCUGAUGCUAGCAAGGAGUGGAGGUUGUCGUACAGCGAGCUGCGGGAGUCCGUAAGCAGAGUAGC